AGACUAUAUGAAGAAUGACUUGGGGUAC
This 28-nucleotide non-coding RNA is filed under the name Rattus norvegicus (Norway rat). The record is from RNAcentral. Lineage: Eukaryota; Metazoa; Chordata; Mammalia; Rodentia; Muridae.